RNAcentral lists this small RNA (745 nucleotides) under Pongo abelii (Sumatran orangutan). Its description in RNAcentral is "retained intron". The record is from RNAcentral. Lineage: Eukaryota; Metazoa; Chordata; Mammalia; Primates; Hominidae.
GAAGCGAACCAAGUCCUACAAUGAUAUGCAAAAUGCUGGCAUAGUCCAUGCGGAGAACGAGGAGGAGGAUGACGUUCCUGAAAUGAACAGCAGCUUUACAGCCGGUUCUGGUGAACAAGACGAGCACACUCUCCAAGAAACAGCAUUACCACCUGUGAAUAGUAGCAUCAUUGCUGCUCCCAUCACGGACCCUUCUCAGAAGUUCCCUCAAUACCUACCUCUUUCUGCAGAGGAUAAUUUAGGUCCUCUACCUGAAAACUGGGAGAUGGCCUAUACCGAAAAUGGAGAAGUCUAUUUUAUAGAGUAAAGUAUACCAUUAUUUCUACCUAAAUCUCUCUCUCUUUCUUUUCCCUUCCUUCCCUCUGUCUAGCAGCUGCCAACGUAAAUUACGUUUAAGGGAUUGAUCACCCACUGAUGGUAUUUUUUAAUAAGGUUUAAUAAGUUUUGCAUAAAAAGGUAAUUAAUUAUUAUCUACUUAUUGAUUUUCAACAGUUUGAGGAAGCAUUAGGUUAAUCAUUUCCCUAAAGGUUUAGACAACUAAAUUAUGGUAUAUAGAAAUUAUGACAUAAUAUUUAAAGAGCAUAUUUAACCAUUAAAAAUAGUAAAUAUAUUGCUUUUUUUCUUAAUUGAACUACAGUGUCCUUAUUGUUUUAAGACUUCUUCAUAUAUUCUAGAUACAAUUCUUUUAUCAUAUAUGUGAUUUGUAUGUAUUUUCUCCAAGUCCAGCUUUUCUGUUCAUUGUCUC